GGCACUAUGGCCGAGUUGGUCUAAGGCGGUAGACUCAAGAAUUGACAAUGAUUCUUCUUCUAUUCUAACAGGGGUUUCUACUAUCGUAAGAUGCAGGAGUUCGAAUCUCCUUGGUGUCA
Molecule: transfer RNA, 119 nt
Organism: Candida albicans SC5314
Lineage: Eukaryota; Fungi; Ascomycota; Pichiomycetes; Serinales; Debaryomycetaceae
Rfam family: tRNA
About the family: Transfer RNA (tRNA) molecules are approximately 80 nucleotides in length. Their secondary structure includes four short double-helical elements and three loops (D, anti-codon, and T loops). Further hydrogen bonds mediate the characteristic L-shaped molecular structure. tRNAs have two regions of fundamental functional importance: the anti-codon, which is responsible for specific mRNA codon recognition, and the 3' end, to which the tRNAs corresponding amino acid is attached (by aminoacyl-tRNA synthetases). tRNAs cope with the degeneracy of the genetic code in two manners: having more than one tRNA (with a specific anti-codon) for a particular amino acid; and 'wobble' base-pairing, i.e. permitting non-standard base-pairing at the 3rd anti-codon position.
Source: Rfam